Molecule: ribosomal RNA, 547 nt
Filed under: [Candida] sp. H6Y34
Lineage: Eukaryota; Fungi; Ascomycota; Saccharomycetes; Saccharomycetales
Description: eukaryotic LSU rRNA
Rfam family: 5.8S ribosomal RNA (bases 172-325)
Source: RNAcentral
GCGCGGCGAAAAACCUUACACACAGUGUUUUUUGUUAUUACAAGAACUUUUGCUUUGGUCUGGACUAGAAAUAGUUUGGGCCAGAGGUUUACUGAACUAAACUUCAAUAUUUAUAUUGAAUUGUUAUUUAUUUAAUUGUCAAUUUGUUGAUUAAAUUCAAAAAAUCUUCAAAACUUUCAACAACGGAUCUCUUGGUUCUCGCAUCGAUGAAGAACGCAGCGAAAUGCGAUAAGUAAUAUGAAUUGCAGAUUUUCGUGAAUCAUCGAAUCUUUGAACGCACAUUGCGCCCUCUGGUAUUCCAGAGGGCAUGCCUGUUUGAGCGUCAUUUCUCUCUCAAACCUUCGGGUUUGGUAUUGAGUGAUACUCUUAGUCGAACUAGGCGUUUGCUUGAAAUGUAUUGGCAUGAGUGGUACUGGAUAGUGCUAUAUGACUUUCAAUGUAUUAGGUUUAUCCAACUCGUUGAAUAGUUUAAUGGUAUAUUUCUCGGUAUUCUAGGCUCGGCCUUACAAUAUAACAAACAAGUUUGACCUCAAAUCAGGUAGGAUUA